Molecule: ribosomal RNA, 256 nt
Filed under: uncultured bacterium
Lineage: Bacteria
Description: partial 16S ribosomal RNA
Rfam family: Bacterial small subunit ribosomal RNA
Source: RNAcentral
GACGUAGGGCGCGAGCGUUGUCCGGAUUUAUUGGGCGUAAAGAGCUCGUAGGCGGCUUGUCGCGUCGACUGUGAAAACCCGCGGCUCAACUGCCGGGCCUGCAGCCGAUACGGGCAGGCUAGAGUUCGGUAGGGGAGACUGGAAUUCCUGGUGUAGGCGGUGAAAUGCGCAGAUAUCAGGAGGAACACCAAUAGCGAAGGCAGCUCGCUGGGACGGUACUGACGCUAAGGCGCGAAAGCGUGGGGAGCGAACGAGG